GCGAAACUGCGAAUGGCUCAUUAAAUCAGUUAUCGUUUAUUUGAUAGUACCUACUACUUGGAUAACCGUGGUAAUUCUAGAGCUAAUACAUGCUAAAAACCCCGACCGAAGGGGUGUAUUUAUUAGAUUAAAAACCAAUGCCCUUCGGGGCUCUUUGGUGAUUCAUAAUAACUUUUCGAAUCGCAUGGCCUUGCGCCGGCGAUGGUUCAUUCAAAUUUCUGCCCUAUCAACUUUCGAUGGCAGGGUCUUGGCCUGCCAUGGUUACAACGGGUAACGGAGGGUUAGGGCUCGACCCCGGAGAAGGAGCCUGAGAAACGGCUACUACAUCCAAGGAAGGCAGCAGGCGCGCAAAUUACCCAAUCCCGAUUCGGGGAGGUAGUGACAAUAAAUACUGAUACAGGGCUCUUUUGGGUCUUGUAAUUGGAAUGAGUACAAUUUAAAUCCCUUAACGAGGAACAAUUGGAGGGCAAGUCUGGUCCAGCAGCCGCGGUAAUUCCAGCUCCAAUAGCGUAUAUUAAAGUUGUUGCAGUUAAAAAGCUCGUAGUUGAACCUUGGGCCUGGCUGGCCGGUCCGCCUCACCGCGUGCACUGGUUCGGCCGGGCCUUCCCUCUGGGGAACCUCAUGGUCUUCACUGAUCGUGAGGGGACCAGGACUUUUACUGUGAAAAAAUUAGAGUGUUCAAAGCAGGCUAUGCUCGAAUACAUUAGCAUGGAAUAAUAAAAUAGGACGUGUGGUUCUAUUUUGUUGGUUUCUAGGACCGCCGUAAUGAUUAAUAGGGACAGUCGGGGGCAUCAGUAUUCAAUUGUCAGAGGUGAAAUUCUUGGAUUUAUUGAAGACUAACUACUGCGAAAGCAUUUGCCAAGGAUGUUUUCAUUAAUCAGGAACGAAAGUUAGGGGAUCGAAGACGAUCAGAUACCGUCGUAGUCUUAACCAUAAACUAUGCCGACUAGGGAUCGGACGGUGUUACUUAUGACCCGUUCGGC
This 983-nucleotide ribosomal RNA is filed under the name Pestalotiopsis sp. ES143. Its description in RNAcentral is "SSU rRNA". It matches the Rfam family "Eukaryotic small subunit ribosomal RNA", at positions 81 to 1084 of the family's 1831-position model. The record is from RNAcentral. RNAcentral also lists the same sequence under 1 other name. Lineage: Eukaryota; Fungi; Ascomycota; Sordariomycetes; Amphisphaeriales; Sporocadaceae.